CAUUUAUCUGUGUUAAAGAGUACAAAUAACUCAGUUUCAGAGGAAUGCGAUUCUGGAAGUGUCUGCCUUACUGGAUUUCUGUUUUGAAAGCACUUGACUCAAGGGCCUAAGUCCUACUGAUUUUCACAGUUACAGAAGCUACUGCAUGAUGUAGUUCUGGUCAAUGUUUGAAAGUACAAUCAAGCAAAGCAAUAUUUCACUGGGGGUAGGGGGAGGUAAUGAAGAGGCCAUACUUCUUCACAUACCUCAGAAAACAGUGCCGGAACAGCAGGCUGGUCAAAGGAUGCAAAAAGCUUCGAAGCAGCAAACACAAUGUGCUCUUUGAUUAAGGACACAGACGCUUGUGCUGCACCUUCUGGAUGGGGAACCUUCUGCGGUGCGUGUGUCUCCACUGGAAAUUAUCAGUUGCAUACAAGUUCAAACAUGUCUAUCCGCAAAAUUUAACUUGCUAUUUAUCCUGCUUUUAAGGAAAGCAAAUUGUGUAAAAAAAUUUUCUGGGAAAAAGAAUAGCCUUUGGUGAAAGUCGUUUUAAGGAUUUAUCCAGCUUACAAUAAAAUCUGUGCUGAAAUCUUGCA
Molecule: long non-coding RNA, 575 nt
Filed under: Struthio camelus australis
Lineage: Eukaryota; Metazoa; Chordata; Aves; Struthioniformes; Struthionidae
Description: lncRNA (ENSSCUG00000008778.1)
Source: RNAcentral